RNAcentral lists this long non-coding RNA (1457 nucleotides) under Heterocephalus glaber (naked mole-rat). RNAcentral's name for it is "lncRNA (ENSHGLG00000037162.1)". Lineage: Eukaryota; Metazoa; Chordata; Mammalia; Rodentia; Bathyergidae. The record is from RNAcentral.
CCCAUCUUCAGUUAUAAGUGGGUUCCAAUGUUGACAUGGUAACCCAUAGUCAACAGAGCACCUUCUUACAUGUUCUCUUGGCCACAGAGACUCAAAACUGAAGCACUUCUCACAUUACCUGUUCGAGACCAAAGACUUUUAGAGCUUAUCUGUCAGCCUCAGGACUUGACAGAGACAGAAUACAACUAUAAUUUCAUGGCAACCCCAAACCCCAGCAGUGACUGCUCGGACUCAGAGCAGUCCCAUAUGAAAAUAAAUUCCCCGGAGAGCCUCGCAGGGGAUGAUCUCCCUGAUUCCCACACCUUCCACAAAGAGACCAAAACCACCCUCAAAGGUAACGUGUGUCACCAGGAGACAACAACCUUUCAUGAAGGAUAUGUUGUGGGUUCCUCAGUCAACGGCCACCCUACUGUGGAAGGACCAGAGGACACAGGGAGUCUAGGAAGAUGCAUGGACAAUAAUUCUGACACCACCAAGGACAACCCUAACCAGGCGCAUAUACAGAUGUAUCCUGAUGUGGAAGAGGAUGAGGAGACAGACUCAGAUAGCGAAGGCGAAGGAGCUGAUCAAAUUGUCACUAACAACAACAAGUGGAUAAAUAAGAAUUUAAGACUCAGAGGGCUAUACAUUGACCCUGUGGAUGGCUGGCCAGUAAUUCAGCUUGUCAGUCCCAAACUCACCAAGGAACAAGCACCAGAAGAUAGUCACAAUGAGGAGAGAAAGGAGGAAAGCGAAAGCAGCGAAGAUGAAUAUGGGGAUGCAGAUAAACUAAUUGAAAACUUCAAAGACCAAGAUGAAGGCAUGCUAAUGGGAUUAAUUGAAAAAGAAAAAGAGGACACGAAGAUCAAGAACAACGAAGACACCUGGAGUGAUGACGAAGAGUAUGUGGACCUUUAUGAACGAAUGCUGGUGUAUAAAAUAUCUGAUGACACCAGGCUUCCUGAUUCCAGUGAGGAUGAUGGAAGACAGCUCAAUGAGAGUUCCUUGGAGAAGGAAAACAUCCCAGACAAUGAAGACCCUCAGGACGCUGAUAAACAAACCUAUGACUCUGACAAAGAUGAUGCCCUCUGGCUCCGAGAACCACCUGAGGGAAACUUCCAGCUGGGCAGCAGCUCCCCUCCUCAUCCAGCUCAGGUCCCAUGUGAAGAACACCACACAUGUGAGGACCUGCCCACAUGCAAACCACCAGAAAAUACACAAGUCACCCAAGUCCCAGAGAUGCCGGCAAUGCUCCCGGAAGAUGAACCUGCUGAGCCUCAGGACUUGACAGAGACAGAAUACAACUAUAAUUUCAUGGCAACCCCAAACCCCAGCAGUGACUGCUCGGACUCAGAGCAGUCCCAUAUGAAAAUAAAUUUCCCGGAGAGCCUCGUAGGGGGUGAUCUCCCUGAUUCCCACACCUUCCACAAAGAGACCAAAACCACCCUCAAAGGUAACGUGUGUCACCAGGAGACAAC